RNAcentral lists this ribosomal RNA (300 nucleotides) under uncultured soil bacterium. RNAcentral's name for it is "bacterial SSU rRNA". It matches the Rfam family "Bacterial small subunit ribosomal RNA", at positions 26 to 326 of the family's 1533-position model. The record is from RNAcentral.
AGAUUGAACGCUGGCGGCAGGCCUAACACAUGCAAGUCGAGCGGCAGCACGGGUACUUGUACCUGGUGGCGAGCGGCGGACGGGUGAGUAAUGCCUAGGAAUCUGCCUGGUAGUGGGGGAUAACGCUCGGAAACGGACGCUAAUACCGCAUACGUCCUACGGGAGAAAGCAGGGGACCUUCGGGCCUUGCGCUAUCAGAUGAGCCUAGGUCGGAUUAGCUAGUUGGUGGGGUAAUGGCUCACCAAGGCGACGAUCCGUAACUGGUCUGAGAGGAUGAUCAGUCACACUGGAACUGAGACA